AGCCCUGAAGUGUUUGACAUAUUAGAUUGCAAAUCUGAAGGAGUAGGCUAACGCCUGCCGGGGCUUUCCC
RNAcentral lists this transfer RNA (70 nucleotides) under Nannoperca australis (Tasmanian pigmy perch). Its description in RNAcentral is "tRNA-Cys". The record is from RNAcentral. Lineage: Eukaryota; Metazoa; Chordata; Actinopteri; Centrarchiformes; Percichthyidae.